This 560-nucleotide ribosomal RNA is filed under the name uncultured bacterium. RNAcentral describes it as "bacterial SSU rRNA". It matches the Rfam family "Bacterial small subunit ribosomal RNA", at positions 338 to 916 of the family's 1533-position model. The record is from RNAcentral.
CCUACGGGAGGCAGCAGUGAGGAAUUUUCCGCAAUGGGCGAAAGCCUGACGGAGCAAUACCGCGUGAGGGAUGAAGGAUUUUGGUCUGUAAACCUCUUUUCUCAAGAAAGAAGUUCUGACGGUACUUGAGGAAUAAGCAUCGGCUAACUCCGUGCCAGCAGCCGCGGUAAUACGGGGGAUGCAAGCGUUAUCCGGAAUGAUUGGGCGUAAAGCGCCUGUAGGUUGUUUAUUAAGUCCGUUGUUAAAGCCUAGGGCUCAACCCUAGAAAAGCAAUGGAAACUAGUAGACUAGAGUAUGGCAGGGGUAGAGGGAAUUUCUAGUGUAGCGGUGAAAUGCGUAGAUAUUAGAAAGAACACCGGUGGCGAAAGCGCUCUACUGGACCAUUACUGACACUCAGAGGCGAAAGCUAGGGUAGCAAAAGGGAUUAGAUACCCCUGUAGUCCUAGCCGUAAACGAUGGAUACUAGAUGUUGUGCAUUAUGUACAGUAUCGUAGCUAACGCGUUAAGUAUCCCGCCUGGGGAGUACGCUCGCAAGGGUGAAACUCAAAUGAAAUUGACGG